CCAGUGUGUUUCGACACACUAUCAUUAACUGAAUCCAUAGGUUAAUGAGGCGAACCGGGGGAACUGAAACAUCUAAGUACCCCGAGGAAAAGAAAUCAACCGAGAUUCCCCCAGUAGCGGCGAGCGAACGGGGAGCAGCCCAGAGCCUGAAUCAGUAUGUGUGUUAGUGGAAGCGUCUGGAAAGGCGCGCGAUACAGGGUGACAGCCCCGUACACAAAAAUGCACAUGCUGUGAGCUCGAUGAGUAGGGCGGGACACGUGGUAUCCUGUCUGAAUAUGGGGGGACCAUCCUCCAAGGCUAAAUACUCCUGACUGACCGAUAGUGAACCAGUACCGUGAGGGAAAGGCGAAAAGAACCCCGGCGAGGGGAGUGAAAAAGAACCUGAAACCGUGUACGUACAAGCAGUGGGAGCACGCUUAGGCGUGUGACUGCGUACCUUUUGUAUAAUGGGUCAGCGACUUAUAUUCUGUAGCAAGGUUAACCGAAUAGGGGAGCCGAAGGGAAACCGAGUCUUAACUGGGCGUUAAGUUGCAGGGUAUAGACCCGAAACCCGGUGAUCUAGCCAUGGGCAGGUUGAAGGUUGGGUAACACUAACUGGAGGACCGAACCGACUAAUGUUGAAAAAUUAGCGGAUGACUUGUGGCUGGGGGUGAAAGGCCAAUCAAACCGGGAGAUAGCUGGUUCUCCCCGAAAGCUAUUUAGGUAGCGCCUCGUGAAUUCAUCUCCGGGGGUAGAGCACUGUUUCGGCAAGGGGGUCAUCCCGACUUACCAACCCGAUGCAAACUGCGAAUACCGGAGAAUGUUAUCACGGGAGACACACGGCGGGUGCUAACGUCCGUCGUGAAGAGGGAAACAACCCAGACCGCCAGCUAAGGUCCCAAAGUCAUGGUUAAGUGGGAAACGAUGUGGGAAGGCCCAGACAGCCAGGAUGUUGGCUUAGAAGCAGCCAUCAUUUAAAGAAAGCGUAAUAGCUCACUGGUCGAGUCGGCCUGCGCGGAAGAUGUAACGGGGCUAAACCAUGCACCGAAGCUGCGGCAGCGACGCUGAUGCGUUGUUGGGUAGGGGAGCGUUCUGUAAGCCUGCGAAGGUGUGCUGUGAGGCAUGCUGGAGGUAUCAGAAGUGCGAAUGCUGACAUAAGUAACGAUAAAGCGGGUGAAAAGCCCGCUCGCCGGAAGACCAAGGGUUCCUGUCCAACGUUAAUCGGGGCAGGGUGAGUCGACCCCUAAGGCGAGGCCGAAAGGCGUAGUCGAUGGGAAACAGGUUAAUAUUCCUGUACUUGGUGUUACUGCGAAGGGGGGACGGAGAAGGCUAUGUUGGCCGGGCGACGGUUGUCCCGGUUUAAGCGUGUAGGCUGGUUUUCCAGGCAAAUCCGGAAAAUCAAGGCUGAGGCGUGAUGACGAGGCACUGCGGUGCUGAAGCAACAAAUGCCCUGCUUCCAGGAAAAGCCUCUAAGCAUCAGGUAACAUCAAAUCGUACCCCAAACCGACACAGGU
RNAcentral lists this ribosomal RNA (1493 nucleotides) under Escherichia coli. RNAcentral describes it as "partial 23S ribosomal RNA". It matches the Rfam family "Bacterial large subunit ribosomal RNA", at positions 128 to 1664 of the family's 2925-position model. Lineage: Bacteria; Pseudomonadati; Pseudomonadota; Gammaproteobacteria; Enterobacterales; Enterobacteriaceae. The record is from RNAcentral.